GAUGAAGAACGUAGCGAAAUGCGAUACGUAAUGUGAAUUGCAAAUUCAGUGAAUCAUCGAGUCUUUGAACGCACAUUGCGCCCCCUGGUAUUCCGGGGGGCAUGCCUGUCCGAGCGUCAUUGCUGCCCUCAAGCACGGCUUGUGUGUUGGGCCCCGUCCUCCGAUCCCGGGGGACGGGCCCGAAAGGCAGCGGCGGCACCGCGUCCGGUCCUCGAGCGUAUGGGGCUUUGUCACCCGCUCUGUAGGCCCGGCCGGCGCUUGCCGAUCAACCCAAAUUUUUAUCCAGGUUGACCUCGGAUCAGGUAGGGAUACCCGCUGAACUUAAGCAUAUCAAUAGCGGGGA
This 343-nucleotide unclassified non-coding RNA is filed under the name soil metagenome. Its description in RNAcentral is "partial contains 5.8S ribosomal RNA, internal transcribed spacer 2, and large subunit ribosomal RNA". The stretch from base 1 to 119 matches the Rfam family "5.8S ribosomal RNA", at positions 35 to 154 of the family's 154-position model. The record is from RNAcentral.